RNAcentral lists this ribosomal RNA (892 nucleotides) under uncultured bacterium. Its description in RNAcentral is "bacterial SSU rRNA". It matches the Rfam family "Bacterial small subunit ribosomal RNA", at positions 28 to 877 of the family's 1533-position model. The record is from RNAcentral.
AACGAACGCUGGCGGCGUGGCUAAGGCAUGCAAGUCGAACGGGACCUUUUGAGUAGCAAUACAAGAGAGGUUCAGUGGCGGACGGGUGAGUAAUACAUAGGUAACGUGCCUCGAGUUCAGGGAUAACAGCGUCCCGCAAGGGACUUUGCGAAAGUGCUGGUAAUACCUGAUAACGUCAAGAAGUCUCAUGGCUUUUUGACCAAAGGUGGGGACCUUCGGGCCUGCCGACUCAUGAGCGGCCUAUGUCCUAUCAGCUAGUUGGCGGGGUAACGGCCCACCAAGGCUAUGACGGGUAACCGGCGUGAGAGCGCGACCGGUCACAUCGGGACUGAGACACUGCCCGGACACCUACGGGUGGCUGCAGCAACGAAUAUUCCGCAAUGGGCGAAAGCCUGACGGAGCGACGCCGCGUGAGGGAUGAAGUCCCUUCGGGAUGUAAACUUCAAUAGUACGCCAGGAACCAAUCCUGGCUAAUAUCCAGGAAAGUUGACCAGCGUACGGAAGAGGCGGCUAACUCCGUGCCAGCAGCCGCGGUAAUACGGAGGCCUCGAGCGUUGUUCGGAAUCACUGGGCUUAAAGCGCGUGUAGGCGGAACGGUAAGUACUGUGUGAAAUCCCCGGCUUCAAUCCGGGAACUGCUUGGUAUACUGCCGUUCUUGAGGCAGGUAGGGGUUACUGGAACCUUAGGUGGAGCGGUGAAAUGCGUAGAUAUCUAAGGGAACGCCUGUGGCGAAAGCGGGUGACUGGGCCUGACCUGACGCUGAGACGCGAAAGCGUAGGGAGCAAACGGGAUUAGAUACCCCGGUAGUCUACGCCGUAAACGAUGCGCACUAGGUUCGAGUGGUACUGACACCUCUCGUGCCGAAACAAAAGCGUUAAGUGCGCCGCCUGGG